AGCGAACGCUGGCGGCAGGCUUAACACAUGCAAGUCGAACGGGCGUAGCAAUAUGUCAGUGGCAGACGGGUGAGUAACGCGUGGGAACGUACCUUUUGGUUCGGAACAACCCAGGGAAACUUGGGCUAAUACCGGAUAAGCCCUUACGGGGAAAGAUUUAUCGCCGAAAGAUCGGCCCGCGUCUGAUUAGCUAGUUGGUGUGGUAACGGCGCACCAAGGCGACAAUCAGUAGCUGGUCUGAGAGGAUGAUCAGCCACAUUGGGACUGAGACACGGCCCAAACUCCUACGGGAGGCAGCAGUGGGGAAUAUUGGACAAUGGGCGCAAGCCCGAUCCAGCCAUGCCGCGUGAGUGAUGAAGGCCCUAGGGUUGUAAAGCUCUUUUGUGCGGGAAGAUAAUGACGGUACCGCAAGAAUAAGCCCCGGCUAACUUCGUGCCAGCAGCCGCGGUAAC
This 452-nucleotide ribosomal RNA is filed under the name uncultured bacterium. RNAcentral's name for it is "bacterial SSU rRNA". It matches the Rfam family "Bacterial small subunit ribosomal RNA", at positions 29 to 524 of the family's 1533-position model. The record is from RNAcentral.